GACGAACGCUGGCGGCGUGCUUAACACAUGCAAGUCGAACGGAAAGGCCCUGCUUUUGUGGGGUGCUCGAGUGGCGAACGGGUGAGUAACACGUGAGUAACCUGCCCUUGACUUUGGGAUAACUUCAGGAAACUGGGGCUAAUACCGGAUAGGAGCUCCUGCUGCAUGGUGGAGGUUGGAAAGUUUCGGCGGUUGGGGAUGGACUCGCGGCUUAUCAGCUUGUUGGUGGGGUGGUGGCUUACCAAGGCUUUGACGGGUAGCCGGCCUGAGAGGGUGACCGGCCACAUUGGGACUGAGAUACGGCCCAGACUCCUACGGGAGGCAGCAGUGGGGAAUAUUGCACAAUGGGCGGAAGCCUGAUGCAGCAACGCCGCGUGCGGGAUGACGGCCUUCGGGUUGUAAACCGCUUUCGCCUGUGACGAAGCGUGAGUGACGGUAAUGGGUAAAGAAGCACCGGCUAACUACGUG
RNAcentral lists this ribosomal RNA (468 nucleotides) under uncultured bacterium. RNAcentral describes it as "partial 16S ribosomal RNA". It matches the Rfam family "Bacterial small subunit ribosomal RNA", at positions 28 to 507 of the family's 1533-position model. The record is from RNAcentral.